This 76-nucleotide transfer RNA is filed under the name Bacteriovoracaceae bacterium. Its description in RNAcentral is "tRNA-His". It matches the Rfam family "tRNA". Rfam says of the family: Transfer RNA (tRNA) molecules are approximately 80 nucleotides in length. Their secondary structure includes four short double-helical elements and three loops (D, anti-codon, and T loops). Further hydrogen bonds mediate the characteristic L-shaped molecular structure. tRNAs have two regions of fundamental functional importance: the anti-codon, which is responsible for specific mRNA codon recognition, and the 3' end, to which the tRNAs corresponding amino acid is attached (by aminoacyl-tRNA synthetases). tRNAs cope with the degeneracy of the genetic code in two manners: having more than one tRNA (with a specific anti-codon) for a particular amino acid; and 'wobble' base-pairing, i.e. permitting non-standard base-pairing at the 3rd anti-codon position. The record is from RNAcentral. Lineage: Bacteria; Pseudomonadati; Bdellovibrionota; Bacteriovoracia; Bacteriovoracales; Bacteriovoracaceae.
GUGGCUGUAGUUCAGUUGGUAGAGCAACGGAUUGUGAUUCCGUGUGUCGCGGGUUCAAGCCCCGUCAGCCACCCCA